GAUGAACGCUGGCGGCGUGCCUAAUACAUGCAAGUCGAGCGAACAGACGAGGAGCUUGCUCCUCUGACGUUAGCGGCGGACGGGUGAGUAACACGUGGAUAACCUACCUAUAAGACUGGGAUAACUUCGGGAAACCGGAGCUAAUACCGGAUAAUAUAUUGAACCGCAUGGUUCAAUAGUGAAAGACGGUUUUGCUGUCACUUAUAGAUGGAUCCGCGCCGCAUUAGCUAGUUGGUAAGGUAACGGCUUACCAAGGCAACGAUGCGUAGCCGACCUGAGAGGUUGAACGGCCACAUUGGGACUGAGACACGGCGCAGACUCCUACGGGAGGCAGCAGUGGGGAAGAUUGCACAAUGGGGGAAACCCUGAUGCAGCGACGCCGCGUGGAGGAAGAAGGUCUUCGGAUUGUAAACUCCUGUUGUUGGGGAAGAUAAUGACGGUACCCAACAAGGAAGUGACGGCUAACUACGUG
RNAcentral lists this ribosomal RNA (472 nucleotides) under uncultured bacterium. RNAcentral describes it as "partial 16S ribosomal RNA". It matches the Rfam family "Bacterial small subunit ribosomal RNA", at positions 28 to 507 of the family's 1533-position model. The record is from RNAcentral.